Bombyx mori (domestic silkworm) is the source of this 81-nucleotide non-coding RNA. Lineage: Eukaryota; Metazoa; Arthropoda; Insecta; Lepidoptera; Bombycidae. The record is from RefSeq and is marked provisional.
CAGUUCUUCUUUAGUAGCUACAAUAUCUAUGACGUUGAUUCGAAUUAUUUCGUAGAUAUUGUAGUUACUGGAGAAUUAUCU